CCUUCAAUGAUGACUAUUUGUAAAUUCUUGAUAGGAAGAGUAUGAAACAUAAUGAGUACUAAAACAAUAUCUGACGAAAUC
Non-coding RNA from Drosophila persimilis, 81 nucleotides. The record is from Rfam. NCBI's taxonomy places the organism in Eukaryota, Metazoa, Arthropoda, Insecta, Diptera, Drosophilidae.